This 442-nucleotide ribosomal RNA is filed under the name uncultured Bacteroidota bacterium. Its description in RNAcentral is "bacterial SSU rRNA". It matches the Rfam family "Bacterial small subunit ribosomal RNA", at positions 917 to 1359 of the family's 1533-position model. Lineage: Bacteria; Pseudomonadati; Bacteroidota. The record is from RNAcentral.
GGGCCCGCACAAGCGGAGGAACAUGUGGUUUAAUUCGAUGAUACGCGAGGAACCUUACCCGGGCUUGAAAUGGAGUGGAAUAUAUUGGAAACAGUGUAGUCAGCAAUGACCACUUUGUAGGUGCUGCAUGGUUGUCGUCAGCUCGUGCCGUGAGGUGUCGGCUUAAGUGCCAUAACGAGCGCAACCCUUGCCAUUAGUUACCAGCGUGAAAGACGGGGACUCUAAUGGGACUGCCACCGUAAGGUGUGAGGAAGGUGGGGAUGACGUCAAAUCAGCACGGCCCUUACGUCCGGGGCGACACACGUGUUACAAUGGGUUGUACAGAGGGUUGCGACACCGCGAGGUGAAGCUAAUCCCAUAAAACAAUUCUCAGUUCGGAUUGGAGUCUGCAACUCGACUCCAUGAAGCUGGAUUCGCUAGUAAUCGCGCAUCAGCCAUGGCG